UAGCUCACUAAUUUACUCUUAAUCCUAGUUCAUUUUGCUAUAUAUCUCACCUUUUGAAUUCAUUUUUAUUUCCAUGUUCUUUGGAUUUUUUUUCAUAAAAUACUCUUCUAAUUUUAUAGAAACUGUAAACAUAUCCAUACACUUUCAUUAUAGACCUAGUCUGUUCGCUCUAUUAAAUAUUCUUUCCAUAUGUUAGUUUUCUACUUUUUGAAUUGGAGUUCUUUCUUUGGUAGUUUUGGUUUUCCUCAAAUAUUUAUAGAUUCUUAGUUUCUAUGUGUGUAUUUUUCAGGAAUGUUCCCUGUUUGCCUGCUUGUGGAUGCAUGUUUUGACUACAGAAGCUAGUCUUUGGAGAGAUACAAGUACUACAAAACAUGGCUUCCCUGGAAGAGAUUGCAACUAUAUCUGAACUAAAGCACUUGACCAAGAAUCUUCUAUGUGCUGAUACAAAAACAGAAAUACAAAAAUAUCACAUGGCAUUUCCACUCUUACUAGAAGCACCAAGAAUCUCAGAGGCUCUCGUGUCAGCCCAGCAUCUGUAUUCAUUUCCAUGAGGGCACAGCAGGUGAGAGAGUGGAUUUGUUAAGCUGGGUGAGUUUAUCCUUCUUUUAUGUGUUCAUUCAAUUUUAUGUUCAUUUACUUAUUGUACACAUAUGGCAAUAGAAGCUGCUAAAGCAAAGCAAUCACUGUUAUCCUGCAAAACAACAAGGCACAGAAGCAGAUGUCUUAGUUCUGAGAUUUUUUUCCCCCAGGAUUAUUAUGAUUAAAGAUCCUUCCCCUCAUCCCUCUUUGAAGAGGACCAGGGGCUGCUUGCUAGAGGUUUUAUUUAAUGACUUGGGGAAA
RNAcentral lists this long non-coding RNA (840 nucleotides) under Canis lupus familiaris (dog). Its description in RNAcentral is "lncRNA (ENSCAFG00030003378.1)". Lineage: Eukaryota; Metazoa; Chordata; Mammalia; Carnivora; Canidae. The record is from RNAcentral.